UGCAACAACAGUAACUCAUAAACUUCUAUAAAGGUAAAUAUGAUCAAUUUAAGCAUAAACUCAACUAGUUUAGACAUUACUCUUGAACAAUGAGUGAGAUGUUUAAAUUUCUCAACCCUAGUUAUGUGAAGAAAAAGAAUAGAAUAAAAGGUAAGGUAGGUUUUAAAAAUUGAAAUAAAAGUAAACAAAGUGAAAAAAAAAAGCUGGAGUAUUUUUAAGCGAGACCAGACUUUCUAACUCAAAAUAAGAUUUGAGAAAGGUUUGAAAUGUCGACGUGGAUGAAAAUAUUGAGGUCUCAAAUUUAUCUAAAGCAACAAAGGUAACAAUAAACAGUAGAUGUCAGUGGCGUAUUAUAUAAAGAAAAAGAAAAAAAAUAAAGACAUUUUAUAGUUAAGAUAUUAGUAUUAAUUCUCUUAUAUUUAAAUUGAGUUUUUGUUGCUAAAAUUUGAUGCUUGUAAUUUAUAUGGAUUAAUUGCAGAAACAAAUAUAGAGGUGUUUUAGUAGAAAAAUUAUAGAAGGAGGAUUGAAUCUCCAUCGUCUUUAGACUGAAACUCAUUUUCACGAAUCUAUAAAAAUGUUAAAAGUAUCAGUGGAAGUAUGAACCAAAAAUAAUUGAAGAGUAUGGUUUGGGGUAAUACGAUAAAUAAUCUAUGGAAGAAAAGGGGAGUAAGAAAUAUACAAAUAAUAUAAUUUCUGUCUCUCUCCUUUUCUCUAAUCUAAUGGAGGAGUUGGCUUUGCUGACAAUUCCCGUCAAAAGAAAAAGCGGCAAAAGCCGAGGGGCCAUAGCCAUAGCACAUUUCACAUAGCACACACGAUUCAUUCCAAUUUCUCUUCCUUUCCAUUUCUGUUUUCUUCUCUUUGUUCCUCAUAAUCCCAUCUGUCUCUCCAUUUACUCUUUUUUUUCCCUUCAUUUCUAAUUACCCAUCUCCCAAAAUCCGGUCUGGCAGCGAUCAAUUAUGGUUUCUCUCUUCGAUUCCUCGUUUCAGGUAUUGGGUUGAUCUUAAUUUUUCGUUUGGUUCCAGAAUCGGGGUUUGCCUUUGUUGUCAUACUGCUCUUUUAGCUUGAUCUUGUGUUUAUGUUUUUCUACUUUUUCAAGUAUUGGUGUUUCUUUGUUGACCUUGUUAGUUUUGUGCUUUUCGUUUAAUCUGGCAGAUAUAAUUGAUUGGGUUAGAAGCAUGCGGGAAGAGGGAGACAGAUAUGAGAUUGACAAUGGAAAUGGGGUUUCGUGUUAGGAAAUUUGUAGUCGUAUCUAUCAGAACUUGCUACAGAUCAGUUCGUAACUAUCCGUUUCUUUUCGGGUUGCUGUGUUUUUUGAUUCUUCUGUAUAGAUCGUGUCCGUUUUUGUUUUCCCUUUUGGUGUCUGCGUCCCCUGUUUUGAUUUGCACAGCUGUUUUGCUUGGAACUCUUCUGAGUUAUGGGCAGCCUAAUAUACCUGAAAUUGAAACGGAGGAGAAGGUUUCACGUGAUGUAGCUUCUUUGAGAUCUGGGAUUUUGGACAAUGCUACUGUUGUUGCUAAGGAGGAUGAUAGUUUUACUGUAGAGAGAUUUGAAGGUAAUGAAGUAGAAAAUUCUUAUGUGGUAAGGGGUCCGGAAGAAGAGCGGAAGACAGGCAAGCUUGAUGAACAUGCUGGUUUUGUUGACUUUGUCCAGGUGAUCCAUGAACGCAAUCGUGAAAUUCAGUUUGAGAAGGGUGGUAUUGAGGAGUUUGAGGAGUUUGAGAAGGGUGAAGUUGAGAAGGCAGCAGGAGAGAAGGAAUUCCAUAACUCAGAGUUGGAGGAAAGGAGAGAAAUUUAUAAAAAGGAUUUGGAUAUUAGAAAUUUGGCAACAGAUGAUGAAAAUGCUGUGGAGAACCAGCUUUUGGCUGCCCAAAGCAUGAGAAAUGAGAUUCUUGAAGUAGAAGAUCGUAACAUAUCAAUAGAACCUGUUCAUAAAGGUGAUCAUCUAAGCUUAUCUCUCAAUGAUAAAGAUGAUCAUGAUGAAAAUGGUUAUGAUUCUUCAGGUUCUGAAUCUGAUAGAGCAGAAAGCUCUUCGCCUGAUGCCUCAAUGGCUGAUAUCAUACCUUUGCUGGAUGAGUUGCACCCUCUCUUGGACUCAGAAACUCCACUACCUGCCCAUAGGUCGAAUGAAGAGUCAGAUGCUUCUUCAGAACAAUCUCAUAAAAGUGAUGGUGAAUGUGUGAUGUCAGAUGAUGAGGCUGAAAAUCAAGGAGAAGAAGGUGGUGUUGUUGAACAUGAUGAGGAUGAGGAUGACGACGACGAUGAGGGGAUGCAGGAAGAGAAAGAGGAUGAGAGCAAAUCUGCUAUCAAGUGGACAGAGGAUGAUCAAAAGAAUCUCAUGGAUUUGGGAAGUUUAGAGCUAGAGAGGAAUCAGCGUUUGGAAAAUCUCAUUGCAAGGAGAAGAGCAAGGAACAACUUGAGAAUGUUGGCUGGGAAGAAUUUGAUAGAUUUGGAUGGUUUUGAACUUCCUGCAAACGUACCACCCAUAUCUACAGCCAGACGUAACCCAUUUGAUCUCCCUUAUGAUUCAUACAGUAAUAUGGGAUUACCACCAAUUCCUGGGUCUGCUCCAUCCAUUUUGUUGCCAAGACGUAAUCCAUUUGAUCUCCCAUAUGAUUCAAAUGAAGAAAAACCAGAUCUCAAGAGUGACGACUUUGAACAAGAAUUUUUGGCACCUCAACAGAAAGAUAUGUUCCGAAGACAUGAAAGUUUCAGUGUGGGCCCCUCAAACUUUGCAGUUCCCAAGCUAGAGCAGCAGAAUAUUAGAUGGAAACCAUAUUUCAUGCCUGAAAAAAUAGCUGCCGAAGGAACAAGCUACUCACCACUGGAGAGACAAUUUAGUGAAGUCAGUGAAUCAAAAAUGAGUUCUGUUUCCGAUACCGAAUCAAUGAGUUCUAUUGCAGAUCAGGAUGACAAGAAGCCUGAUGAAUCACAGUCUUUUCUGGAAACAACAGCGGUUUCUUAUCUUCACCCCACAGCCAGUGGUAUUGAGCAUGGAAAUGGGCCAUGGGAGGAUAUAGGCUCUGAAGAUUAUGUACAAGAAAACAGAGAUGUGCAUCAUGAAGUGAUUGAGAUAACUUUGGGAUCUACCGAGAGUCAUUUUGAGAGCCAAUCUGGAUCCUCUGCCAUCAGAGGUGCAGAUACCCCAUUGGAGAUUAAUGCCAGUGAAAUUCACUCCAAAAAUGUAUUAGUUGAAACGGAUUUCAGCAGCAAUUCCAGCUUGUCUUCAUUGUCAGAAGAAGAAAAUGAAACGGCAUUUGAGGUCAAAACAGAUGAGGUGAAACCAAGUAGCAAUCAUACAGAGGAAUCUAGCAUCGAUACUACGAACAUAUCAGUGCCAGCCCUUGAAGAAGAUGGAGACUUCAAGCAUGCCAGUGAAGUGUUGGAUGACAAUCAGCAUAGGGAGCCUGUUUACGACUCAAGCCCUUCAGCAGAAGGUAAGCUCUCAUUUUCACCUGUUUCUUCUGAUAUGUAUACAGAAAUAACCAAUAUAUGGGCCCUCUUCUUUCUUUCUUUUGUUUUUUUUGUUGACACAAUUGACCUCUUUUCAGGUAAGGAAUCUGAAGUUCAUUCUGAAAUAGAGCAGGACAUCACUUCCAGUUUGAAAGAUAUGGAUGAUGUCUCCUCAGGGUUACAUAUAGUCAAUAAAAAUGAACAAGAGUCGAGGGAAGUUUCUGAAGUUAUUGUUCAUGAGGUUACAAAGGUCAAGUCCCCCAAACACGACACCAAUUAUGAUGCUCAAAACUUAUCUGUGGUCCCUGAAUUUUCAGUUGAGGAUGUUUCAAUAAAUUCUGGUCCGUCCUUCUCAGACAAUGCCCCGAUGGAGAAAGGAAUAGUUGAUAGUGUGAAGGAAGAUAAAGAUCGGCUGACAAGUCAUGUGGAGGAUAUUGUUGAUGGAGUUCACAAAAUUGAAGAUGAGAAUCUAGAUUCCUCACCUUCAUGUGAUAAGAUAUCUUCUCGGAGUCUGACUUUUACCGAACCAGAGGACAAACUGUCUUCAGCCGUAAACCAUGUUUCAGCAGAUAUUGGGUCACCUUCAAAUGCUAAACAUGUAGAAAUGCAUGAAACAGUAAAUAACGAAGAAAGUCCUGAACUUGAACAAACAAAAGUCGCUAGAUCAAGUUCAUUGGAUAGCAGUUCUGUGCGGGAAGUAAUUUUACAAACUGAUGUUGUUUGUCAUACUGAUCAACCUACUACUUCUAUAUUAAAUCUUGGUUCAGAAAUCCCUGCUCAGGACACCAAUGACCUGAUUGGAACGAAUGAUUCUGGGUCUAUUUCUCAUGACCAUUUGACUACUACCAAUGCAACCAUUCCUGAAUCACAGGAACAAAAGUGUCCAGAGGUGGAGGAGCAAGUUGAAUUGAUUUCUUUGAGUUCGACACUUCCUCCUAAAUUUGAGCAAGUUGAGGAGCAGUCGAUGAACGAAAAAGAAGUUGUUAGGUCUGAACAAGAUAUUGUUGAGCCCUCAAGUGUCAAGUCACACACAGAGAGUGAAGACCUGCAAAAUUUGGAUAUAAAAAAUUCUUCUUCAGGUUCUAGUACUUCUGACGUGACUCCUGAAGUUAUUUCAUCUGUUACUGAAUUAGGGCAGUCGUGGUCAGACAAGUCAAUGGUUGAACCUGUUCUUAGUAACCGUGACAAUGCUCAGGUAAGUGCUGCUAGAUUAGUGAUCUUUUGCAUACUUUUUAUGUUGAUCUCUUUCUAUGACAUCAAGGAUCUUAAAAGAUCCAAAUAUUGCUAUUACAUCAAUGAUCUUGAAAAGAUCCAAUCCCAGAGUUACUUGUGUAUCAUAAUGUUGCUUCCAUCAUGGAUUAGAUAUUGGUCAAACUUGAUAAAUAAUUAUUAUAUUUGCCAUGGCCUGUGGAUAAUCUUAUCUGCGUGGUCUUAUUUUCAUGAGAUCGAGCACACCACUGUAGCUUUCGCUUUUAGCUGAUCUGAGUAUGAUAAUUAUUGUACCAUGAUACCAUGUUAUUUAAUGAAGUGUUGUGACUUUAUGAGAAGUAAUAUAAUCAUAGUUUGAAUUUAGUGAAUUAAAAUGACGAUAUCAAGCUGAUAUUUUGCAGGAACCAGGUGAUUUUUCGACAGAUUUUGCUGCUGAAGUAAUCUCUGAAAAUACAUCACCAAGUGUUCAUCAAGACAUUUCGGCUGCUCAAUCUUCUGUAGAACCUGAUUCCCCCUCAUGUUCGUCAGAUAAUGACUUCAGUUCACCCAGUACUGGAAGGUAUCCAAAAGAUGGCAAGGAUGGAGUUGUAUUUCAGGAUCGUGAGGAUGUUUCGAAGCAUUUGGACUUUCUGGCAGAAGCAUAUGGAUAUCGUUUUUCAGAAAAGACGAUUAGGGAAGAGGUAGAUGAAAUAGCAGAUAUUGAUGAAGGUUUGUUAUUGGAAUUGGAGGAAGUUGGGGAUUUCAGCGUCAAAGAAGUUGGGGAACCAGUUCUUGAGAAAAAGGUACUCCCAGAGGAAGCUCAAGAAGAAAGAUUUGAAUUGGGUUCUAAUUCCAAUUCGACAGAAGCUAAAUCAGAUAUACCAAUUCUUGAAGCAAGAACACUGGCUGAUAUCAACUUGGCCUUUAGGCAACUCCAAGAAGGGGUAGAUGUGGAGGAUGUCAUUCUCCUCAGUGCGAUUGAAAGCCAAGUUAAUGAAGACGCCAAACCCGAAACAAGUUCAGAUUUGGAGGUUGUGGAAGCGAGAUCCCUGGGAGAUAUUCAUGACGCAGUGUUGCAUGCAUUGGAGAGUAAUAUUGAUGAACUAGGAUCUAGUUCCAACAGCUCAGAAACCAAAUCGGAUAUACCAAUGCUUGAAGCAAAAUCACUCGAUGAUAUCAACUUUGCUUUUAGGCAACUCCACGAUGGAGUUGACGUGGAGGACGUCAUUGAAGUUAAUAGCCAAGUUACCGUAAAAGCCAAGCCUGAAACAAGUUCGGAUUUGGAAGUCGUUGAAGCAAGAUCUUUGGGAGAUAUCCAUGUUGCUUUGAUGCAACUCUCGGAGAAAAACAUAGAUGAGUCAGGUUCUAGUUCCAAUCCCACUGAAACUAAAUCAGAUAUACCAAUUCUUGAAGCAAGAUCACUUGAUGAUAUCAACUUAGCUUUUAAGCAACUCCAUGAAGGAGUAGAUGUGGAGGAUGUCAUCCUUCCCAGUGCGAUCAAAAGCCAGGUUGAAGAAGGAGCCAAAACUGAAACAAAUUCAGAUUUGGAAGUCGUUGAAGCAAAAUCACUGGGAGAUAUUCAUGUUGCCUUGAUGCAAUCCUCAGAGAAAAACUUGAAUGAACUUCCAGAAAGUUCUGUGUCAAAUGUUCCAUCAGAGGGAUUAGAACCAGCUGGAGUGGAUUCUAUCAUUGAGACUGCUUCAUCUAACGCGACCAAUGCCGAUAAAGCAGAAGCAAAUACAGUUGAUGAAAAAUCUGUAGAUCCAAACGUUUCUGCUUCCAAAAACAAAGACAAGAAGGAAAAGUCUGGAAAAUCUUCUGGAUCCAGCUCCAGCUCAAGCUCUAGCGAUUCUGAUUGAGAUUGAAAAGUCUAAGAGGUAAAAGGAGUAGAAUCAUGUGGAGUUUCCUUUUGGGGUUUCCUCUUCAGUCUUCAUUUCAAGAUUUUUUUUUCAAAAAUUUUCUUUUUGGGUUUGGUUUUCCAGUUUGGUUACCUUAUUCUUUGUUUACAGUGCAAUCUUUUGAAAAAAUGAGUUGUGGUUGAUUUCUUGUAAUUGUGCAAGUUUCCAGGAUCCCCAUCCACCCCUUAAGAGUUUGAAGUUUGAGGGAGAAAGGUGGUUUUUUUUUCUUUUUCUACUGUGUUUUCUUUUUUUCUUUCUUUCUUUCUUUUUUUUUUUUUUUUUGUUUAAAUCUGUAUGUAAAAAUUUUGUUGUAUUAUUUGAUGAAUUGGCAAUUAUUGCUUCAGAUUUCGAAGAUCCUAUUUGAAUUUAAUGUUGAUCAAGUUUCCAGGUAAAUUCCAGAGAUAUCAUCACAUUUUGGUCAGUGGUUUAUUGGGUAUAGCAAUACAGUAGAGAUUAAUAUUCUAAAAUAGUUCAAGUUCAUACUAUAGACCUAAUUCAUCAUAUUUUGGGUUUUUGAGUUCUCGAUUCCCCAGGCAAAAGUAUCUGUCUUCAAAAAGACCCAUAAAAAUUAACAUGGCAGUUGGUCAUUUUCUUUCAAACUGUUGCAUUCUUAUAUGAAAAUUCAAGAAUGAAAUCUUAUUGCUACGCUCAAUAUCCCGCUUCAUCCUUUGGAACCAUAUCAUUCCCGGAUCUAAUGAAAUAGGAUGAAUUGAGACGGUAUUUUGUAAACACAUGUAAUUAUCCUGAGUAUAUUACUUAUCUCUUUAUUUCUUGAUCGACAAAAGAAACAUCUUGUUCAAUCUUUAGUACACCCAUAUGAUGUUCUGAUAGAUCCAUUUCACUCCAAAACGAAGCAGGUUUCUUUCCCCUUUUGUUGGUGACAAUUUGCAUUUGCUUAAUCCUACAACUAACCUCUGUGCUACUACUUCAAUCCAUAUACACCACAAGAAAUCGAAGGAUUCUCAAUGCCGAAAUAGAUAUUGGAAACUAGUACGUCCGAAUCUCCUCUCAUUCUUGACGCUUGUGAAAUAACGACCAUAUAGGAGAGCAAUCUGACUCUAAAUUGAAACGUCGGGAAUACUUUGCCAAUUUGAUUUUUUUUAAAAUUUUUCACAUUUGUUCAAUUCCAUGGAAAGAAACAUCCGAGAAAGUAAAAAUAAUGAUUUAACUUUUUAACUUUCCCCGAUGGCAUGGAAAGAAACGUCGGAAAAAGUAAAAAUAAUUAUUUAAUUGUUUAACUUUUUUCGAUGCCAUGGAAGGAAAUGCUGGGAACUAGAAAUAAUUAUUUAAUUGUUUAACUUUUCCCUCAACGUCUACGUUGACCACAUUGGGGCAAAAUUGAAUAAUUAUUUGAUUUUUUUUCUCGAUGCCAUGGAACGAAACGUUAGGGAAAGUAAAAAUAAUUAUUUGAUUGUUUUAACUUUCCCCAAUGUCUAUGUUGACCACGACGAGCAAAAUUGAAUAAUAAUUUAAUUGUUUAACUUUCACUGAUGCCAUGUAGGAACGUCGGCGAAAUCUCCAACCAAUAUCGACGCCAUUAGUGAAACGUCAGUAUUGGUUGGCACUAUCCCCGAUGUUUCACUUUAUGAUGUUGGGGAUAGUAGGAUUUUUUUACGUUUUCGAGAUGUGUCAAAAAAUCCUAUAUCUAUUUCAAUUCUUUGUUCACCCAAAACGCAAAGAAAAGAGUAAGAGGCUGAGAGAGAGAGAGAUUGUCCUCACUGUUUAUCGUCCGUCCACCGUCGCCACCGCCUCCCUCGUCGUCCUAUUUGGUCAACACCACUCUAAAUGAAGGUUUGUUUUUUUUAAAAAAAAAUGUAUAUAUUAAUAUAAUUUAUUGAAAUUGUUUGCAUGUUCUUUAGUAUUUUUGUUUUACUUUAGGUUUAGUUAUUAGUUUUAGAAUUUAGAUUUUAAAAUAGUUUUAGGAUUUAUAUUUUGAAUUAAUUUUAGAUUUUAGUAUUGAAUUUGAAUUGUUUUUAGGAUUUAAGACUGAGGAUGAGAUUGAAUUUGAGAUUGAUAAAUAAUUUGAAUGUGUUGAGAUUUGUGAGAGUUAUAUUGAAUUUAAUGGGGGUUAUAUUGAAUUUGAAGGAGGUUUUAUUGAAUUGGGACGGGGUGUUGGUUGAAUUUGAGAUUGAAUUUGAAUUUCAAUAUUUGGAAAUAUUAGAUAGAUUGUCAAAAGGUUAAAGUAAUUUGUGGUUGAUUUGUUUUAUGGCUACGUUGCAGUUAUGGUAUGGUAGCCUUUUUAUGUAAAAAUUAUUUUAAUAGCAUAAGUGAAUAAUUUUAACACGAUUUUAAGGAUGAUAAAAUUUUGAAUUUAAAUUAUUAUUAACAAUAUACGACUAUUUGUAUAAAUUUUUAAAGAAAAUUUUAGUAUUUUGGUGGUUUCAAAUCAAAAUUUAAAAUAUAUUUUAAAAUAACAAUUAUGAAAAAUAGUUAAAGGCUAGUAACAAGAUAAUAUAAAUAUUUUGAAAUUAUGUUUGACAUCCAAAAUCAAUGGAGUAGCACGAUUAUAGGAGAAGAUUAAACUUUUCUUAGAAUAAUCGUAUAUACACACGUUAAAUGCAUCACAAUUAGAGGAGUAAGAUAUAGUUUUAAUUUUAAUUUAUUAUUAUGUUCAAUAAAUUGUUAUUAGAAAUAUGAAAAGUUUAGGUAAAUCAAUCAAACAACACGAUUAGAGAGAAAGAUCAAAAAAAAAAUUAGAAUUAUAGUGGUAAGAUACAAUUUUAAUUUUAACAACCAUAACUAAAUAAAUUGUUAAUUAUUUGAUUUGAAACCUAAAUGAAAAUGUAGAGGAUGUUGAUUCAGAUGCAUCCGAGAAAAUAAAUAUUUAUUUAAUAUUUUUAUAAAACUGAAUUAUUUGCAAAUAGACUGUGUUCGUGAUUCUAGGUUAUAUUUCAUCAUUUUAUCUAUCGAAUUAGAAUUUCUUGCUAUAAAGGGUAAAAUCGACUGCAAAAAUGUAAAAAAAUUUCUACAUCAAGCAGUUUUGCUAUAAAUUAAAAUAUUUUUGGAAUUUGCUAUUUUCGAGUUUGUUAUCUAUUAUUUUGUCAUUUUCACAGUUUUCUAAAAAAAGAAUGAAAAAUAAAGUUUUUAAAAAGCGUGGGUAAAAGCUUUGUCAUCAUGUAAAUUACGUCGACAAAUAUUUAAAAUAUUUUCCACACAAUACGUGUCAAAAAAACUAAAAUAAACAUUGGUAGAAAUCUAACUUAAAUUUUUCUUUAAGAUCACAUAAAUUUUUGCUCACAUGUAUAUUUUCGUCGACAAAAACGAUGAUGUGCCAAUGUAAUAAAACUACGUGGAUACAACAUAUCUCUGCCCACAUUUUUUUACAUUGCUGUAAAAAUUGGUUGACAAAAACUAAAAUUCUUAUAGUGUAGCACAAGACUUUACAGCGUGCUACAAGCUAGAUUAUGGUUCAUUUCUUCAUGAAGUACAUUUGGCUUCUCCCAAGCUCAAUGGAAUAAGGGUUGCCCCAUCCCGACUCAAACAAUUUAUUGAAAAAGUUAAACCCCUCAUCACUAUUAUAGCUCGUGGAGUGGAACACUAUUAUAGCUCGUAGAGUGUAUGGAAUAGUUAAACUAUUGUCCCCUCCAAUAGAAAGCAAAUUGAAGUAUGUAAUUAGGUGAAAUGUCAACACUAAUUUGUACAAGCUAACGUAGUAAACAUAAUACAUAACAUAAUACAGGUGAGAUUCUAAUCUAAAUUAGACAACAGUGGGUCUCAUCGUAAGUUUAUACACCAUUUGUCCAUCUCUCUCUUUCCCUUAUCAUCACAUUGUUUCUUAUUUCAUUCUUCCCUUCUCCACCUUGAAUUUAGGUGGGCUUAGACACACAUCUCCCGUCAAAGGAACAUUAAACACAAGAUAUUAAUUGUUGAUUAACUUGAUGGAAAGUUGCAAAGUGGUAAAAAUGUUUAGUGGAGAUUCCAAUGACAAUUUAAAAAGUAGGCAAGUCACCAAAUUCAAUUUUUGUAAUAAAAUCUAGCACAAAAAAAAAAUGGCAUAAGAAGUGGGAAGAUGAGUAUAGUGAUGAUUAUAAAAUGGUUGUCUGGUUUAUGAUAAGAAUAAUCAUGGUAAAAAGGGACAAGUGCAAUUAUAACCAUCCACAGUAUACAUAUAUAGCCCAAUAUAAAUUCAAAUUCAGCUCGUAAAGUUUAUUAACAAUAGACUAGAUCGUUGUCAAGAGUCUAUUAUUAAUAGACUAUAUCACAAAUAAAUUUUGCUACAUUUGUAAUUCUUAAAAAAUGUUACAGUGCACUUUUUUACUAUGAGAAGUGUAUCCAUUGCAAUAACCAUCGUACGUAAGAAUAAAGAAUUGAAAUGUCCAAACGGAAAGCAAGCAUUAGAAUGUUCCUAAGUCAAAUAGCACUUAUAAUUUAAAAGCGCAUCUCAUUCCCAUAGGUCAAUUUGAUGAUACAAGUCAUUAAACUCACCAGAAACUCGUAGCUAGUUAGUUGCAUGACAAAAGAAAACCCUUGAGACAAAGGGUAAGUAUACAUUGUGUAGCUAAUAUUCUCUCAAAAGGAAGCCGUAAGCCAACUGAAGUUUCCAAAUCCUAAGAUGAAGACAUGGUAUAGAAUGUUCUUAUACUUUUUGGUAGGAGAAGCAAUAAAUGAUCUUUUCAAAGUUAAAAUAAUAAUACAAAUAGAAAGAGAAAAUGGUAGAAUCUUAUUGUGUGUCUCUCUCCUUUUGCUUUUGUUUUCCUCGAUCAAUAACAUCUUUCCAAAAAUCUACUAUGUUAACCAAAACCUUUGAAGAAUCAACUCCUAUUUUGGUUCAGCACAUAAAAAAUGAUAAAGCAGUAACUUGUAGCCUUGUUCUACUACCUCACCAGCAGGCAUUUCUACUAAAAUAGAAAAAGUAUUAUAUUCCCACCACCACGUAACAAGAUUUGUAGAGAUUGUUCGGUGGGCUAGAAUGAAAUCAGAUUACUAGGAACAUAAGAGCGUUGGGAUGCAUCUAAAAUUGAGGGUAAAACAGAAAUUGAAACAUGAUAACAGUAAAAAAAAAGAUUGGGUUAAAUACUGUCGGAAUUGAAUAAAGUUUAGUAUUACAAAUCAGACUCAAAACACUCAAUCCAAACAUAGGUUUUGGAGUACAUUGCAUUGUAAACUCAUUCCAUUCCGGUUCACCAAACAGCCUAACAGUUCCAAGUAAACCAGAAAAACAACUGCUUAUUAUCGGGAAGGUGAGAAGGUGACAGGCUCCAUGACGAAAACAAAUGAAAGAAAAUGUAUACAGCCAAUGAGAUAUGGUCCACAUAAAAAUACAGAAAAGGCCAUAGAUUAAAGGAAAAACAAGGAAUAGUUUUGCCAUCCCUUGAGAUAGAAGAUCUACCUGGAAUUGGAUUUUUGUCACCUCGAAAUUGAUACUAAAAAACUCAUAAUCAUAGGGUAAUGAAACAGAUACACUAUAGUAGGAUCUUUGCAUGAAUCAACAGUCAAAAGUCUAUGCUAUUAGCUCUACUAGAGAUGAAUUAUACACAUACAUGACUGAAGUUCUCCUUCAACCUUUCGUUUCUACAAAUGGGGGAAGUGGCAGAAAUAGAUUAGAAGCUCACUAGGACAUGUGACUCAAGAAUCUUCUAUUUUCACUUGAUAAUCAUCAAUAGUUUGUUUCAUUCCAUCCAACUUCGAAACCAUAUAUUCCAGUUUCUUGCAGCAAAGUUCGUUAGUAAUCCUUGAACUAUAAUCACAUUUCUCAAAUGGACGAUAUUCACAUGCACUUUUGAUUUCAUCCCGCAAUGUAACUUGGAUAUCCUGAUUUCAAGGAAGUAAAAAUGUCACGUUAUUCCUCAAAUAUAGUUCAAAGAGAUUUUAGGUGAAAUACAGGAUUGCAUUGAGACACUUUCAAAUGAAACAUUUACUUUACUAGUGAGAGAGAAACACCUAUUAUGAACUUCCAAAAAGUAGAAAGGGGGGUGCUUUCAAGAUUUUUUAAUAGAUAUUUUGGGCAGGUUGUCAUCAAUUAGAUAACUAUUAUAACUAACUGAGACUAGAGAGUUGUGGAUAGAAAAUAUAUCCAUACUCUUCACUUGAAAUUAAAUAUCGGAGGUUACCAAAUCCUGAUCAUGAUGCUCCAUCUUUAACAUUAUAAAAAAUAAGCAUAACAACCACAAAACAAUUAUCUUUUAAUUCUUCUCUAAAAUCUGUUAGGGUAGGACUCUGAUUCUGAGAACUAAAUGGUAAAAAGUUAAUAUCAAUCAGCAAAAAUAUCCCAACUACACCCUCCAACUCACCCAACAAACUAACAACAAAUUAACAAAGCAUUACGUGCUUAAUAGUAUCCCAGUAUGUUCCCACAAUGUGCCUAAUAGUUCCACGCUUUUCCAGGACGGAAUCUGUUAGACCCCAUUAUUGUUUACAUAUAAUAGAAGAAAUAAAAUGGCACGUGAGGGUGAUGCACGGAAGAAUUCUGACAGAAAUGAGAGUGAGGAAGCUCACGUGGGUGGGACCAGCAGUUAGGGUGAAGAGGGCGGUUAAAUCUGAAGGGGUAGUUAAAUGCUUGGUGGAAGAGGAGAGGGGUACGAAAUUUGUGGAGUCAAAAUAGGCUGCAUUACUCCUUGAGAGAGAGGAGAAGCAGCGGAAUAGGUUCUUUUGUUCUAAGUAAUUUUCUUUAUGUUUUCUGCAUUGAUUUGUUCUUGCAAAUUCUGUUUAGGAUAAGUUCUGUUUGUUGUUUGUGAAUUCUGCUUAUUGUGGUUCUACUUUUGAGGAUCACUAGUAUUUUCAUAUUGUAUCUUCUGUUUGAGAUAUCAAUAUAAUAGAAACACUACAUCAGUGUUCUAUCAACUGGUAUCAGAACCAAGUUUCGAUCCUGGGACAAAAGAUGUAAAGUUUACCUGGAUUCUAGACAUUUUUUUUAACAAAGACAAGCCUCUUUAUGAUAAUAAAUGAUACUUAAGCUCAAAGUACAAGAGUAUUAUACUAAGAGCAAGAGAACUAGAAGAAUACAAUCAAAACUAAAACUGAAGCUAGUUUUUAUUUCGUUGGCAAACAAAAAGAAGGCAACCAAAAAACAAAUUCCAAUGGAAAAUAAACAAACAAAAACAAACGACUCAAAGAUAUAACAAAAGUAGAAAGCUAAAUACAAAUCAAAACUUAAAGUUCUCUCAUAAGGAACCCAUUUGAGACUGAAAACUUGCACGCCCAAAUCUUCAAAAUGAUCAGAGAAAGAGAGCCGCUAAGAAGAUGCAAACAGUUGCCCCAAAUCUGUCUUGCCAAUAUAAACUGAACCCAUAGAAAGCUCGAAAAAGUUUUCAAUACCAUCAGCCUAUCCCAAAAACAAACCUGAGAAGUUACUUCCUUAGGCAGACCAAAGAAAUAAAGAUCAAAAUCAACACCAAUCUCAAGUCAUCUACCACAAUCAGCGAGGUUUUACUUGCCACCUAUGUGAAGAGAAAUUAAGGAAAGCCAGAAAUUGGACCAAUCGUCUGAGAAACUUACAUUUAACUGUCUAAAGAAUCAAAUUAAGAUAAUUUCACAGUCGGCAACUAUGAUUUUAGAUGACCUGGUAUUUCGCAAGACUGGGGACGAGCAAGUAGCAAAGGACAAAAUUUCAGACUUCAAGUCUUCGUUGCAAUGAAAUAGUGCAAGAUCUGUUUCUAAAGACUCAAAAUGCUUCUGCCUCUCAAGCUCGGAUGACUUACUUAGCAUAAAACUCGAAUUUCUCAUUGCUAACGUUGAAAGGGGAGUCAAAGGAAGACUCACCCUUCUUUCUAGAGGGAUUGAUAGGGGUUUUGCUCAAAGAGCCCCUAAAAAGUUUUACCUUCAAGUUGGGCAAAUAGAGCUCUAAGUACUUAAACUGUGUAGGGUGAGAGUCAUGACCAAUUCAAUUAGUAGGACGAGUUGGAGCUAGAAUCUGGGUACAACUAACAUUCAACAAGUCUGGAUUAGCCUCUAAAAACUUGGAUAUGCUGGAUUGGACUAAGGAAUGAGAGUGGGCGCGGAUUGUUUUUAUCAAAUCAAGAGCUUGAUCUCCUAUUAUCUUGGCUUUUAAGGAUUGUUUAGCCUAAGACCUCUUAGAUUUUUUCUUUCAAUGAAAAAAUUUGGGAAUGGCUUGAGGUAAUGUGGGAAGAUUUUGUAAUGUUUCUUUCUUUUUUAUUUUGCUCUUGGGCCUGACUUUGCUGAGGAAUGUUGGAGAGAAGAAGAUGAGAGAGAACCUAAAGAUGAGUUGAAAUGAGCUUAGUUUGAAGGUAUUUUUAAGGGUUCUAGAGCAGCCGUUGAGGGAACUAAAAGUUCUUAUGGCCUAGUGAGCAGCUGCCGAAAAUUUUGCAGGUUAUUAGUGUCUGACGUGUGAGAGGUGCCAUCUGUCCUUUAUUUAAAAAGAUGUCAGCCGAAUUAAUUUGAGAGGAGUUUAAUUGCUUGGUUGUUGUGUGGCCGCAUUGAUUCUUAUUGGGCAAAGCAAGGGAUUCAGUCACAUUUUUCUCUCUUGUUCCCUCUUAGUUUGAAUUGAUUAACCAAAUUUACUGCAAUGGGAGGAAGAUUGCGACAAAAUGAGCAAGGAGCCCUGACCGGUAAAGCUUGGUCGAGAUUACUAUUGAAGUCAACGCAUGGGUUCCUUGAGAAGCUUGGCUUUGAAAGAGACAAAUUGAGAAGAUCUCAUUCCUGGUUAGAAACAUUCAAAUCUAGCCUUCAUCUUUUAAGACAAGAACAAUUCUUGCUAAGUCUAUCGGAUUUGAGAAAUACUUAAUAAAGAGGGCAUCUUGAACGGCUGAGGGCUCUUCAAUAAUUUCAAUAUCUCCAAAGUUGAGAUAAAAUUUUCCAAAAAAAGCAUCCUACUAUUAUCAUUGUUGGUAAAAAACCACAGAGAUUUUCUCACCUUAAUUUUAUCUUUAGACACAUCAACCAUAUUCAAUGUAUCCAAGGAUAUGCUCUCAAGGCCACCGAAAUAAUUCCUAAUUGCAACAAAGACAGACAUCAUUUUUCCAAUAAUCUAACAGUAAGUUGUUGAUGAACAACCACCCUCCAAAUCCUCGAAUAAAUGGCCUGCCAUGUUUGAACUUGUUCCAUUUUUUGACUAAAAGAUGGAAGAUUCCAAUAUGCUGGCAUUUACUAGGAGUCUCAACCAAAUCUUCCAAAUUCCUUCGAGAGAGGCGGAUUAAUGCCUUAUCAGCAUACAAAGGAUUGAUGCUGAUUUUGUCUUGAAAGUGAGCCUCCAGAGUUUUGGCAAUAUCCUUCCCCAAUCAUUAUAUACGAAGAGCCUGGAAAUGAUCCACAUAGUGCUAAAAUCUUCCUCAAUAACCUCUUCAUUCUUGUGCACCCAAUAAGGAGACGUCAGCUACUUGAGUGGUAGAAAUGCAAAUGACCCCAGUGAACGCUCUGUUUUGCUAGUGCUCAAACAAAGGUCAAGGGGUUUUGAAUUCCUGACUUCAAAACAUGGGAGGCUGUAAGGAUUCAAGCUUACCUUUGUUAUGGCUUGGGUUUCCUAACUUCUGCUCAUUAGCUAAAAAAAAUCCGGUCUUAACUCCAUCAGCAUUAGACAAUCUCUGGAACUGCGAAGGGAGUUGAGUUGGAAGCCGAUGACUUGAGAACCAUUUCUUAUUCUCCAAGUUUGAUAAACUGUUCCCACAUCUAGAGGAAGGACGACCACCCCUCUUUGUCUUCCUUUGAAGAAACCUUGAUGGUUGAACGCCCACCUGAAGCCGGCCAAAAAUCGCAACAUAAAACCCCGCCAAUUUCAAAUCUGAAAUUUAAGAUCUUCGUUCUCCCACGGUCUAACUCCCCAAAUUUCAGAAAGAACCGAUCCUUCAAGCCUCGGACUAACUCUGCUAUCGCUACAAGGAACCAAUUCAGAUGGGCUUCUGGGAUGAAUAGGGAUCGUUGAGCUUCCACGUCCUCCACGUGAAAGUGGCCGUUAUCCAGCCAAACGCAAAAGUGCAUAUUUAGUAUUUUGCAACUUGCUACUUCCAUGAGCAAGAACUAAGUUGAAGAAACCCCAGAGAAGACUAAAAGUGAAGCCAAGGAUUGAAGAAGAUGUCGGAGAAAUCACAGAAAGGUACAGAAAAUCAAAGGAUAAGCCAGUAGAAAGAGGAGAGAGGAGAGAGGAGAGAGCAGACCUACCUUACUCCUCCACUCUUCCUCCUUUGUUAGAUUCCUCUGAUUCUGAACUUUUGAUAGGAUGAAAUUUAUUAUAAUAACAUUCUUUAAAUAUGACAAUUAAUCAGAGUUCAAAUUUCUAUAAAUUAGUUGCUUGAAUGUAAGCUUUCCAUGAUAAUUUCCGGUGAAGUUACCAUGAAAAAGAAAAUCUAUUACAUGCUUGAAUUGUUAGAAUAAUGCAAUUAUACAAUGAAGCCUUGCCAUAAAAUUUUCUUUUUUCUUUUUUACAUAAGAAACCAAGCUUUUAUUGAGAGGAAUGGAGGUAAAGGGCAUACCACAAAAACAAAUAAAAAAGAAAACAGCCUCAGCACAAAUACAAGAAAGGAUUCCAAUCAAAAAGAAUGAAAUGAUGUUGGCGAUUACAAAAAGCUCGAAUAUCAAACACCCAUAAUGAGGAAUUAAAGCGAACAAACACCCAAACAGGGAUCAUCUCCAGAUCUUUUAGACCCUCUAAAAAUCCUAUUGUUCCUCUAUCUGAAUUCCCACAAAAUGAACAAAAACAACUAUGCCAUAAGAUGCUUCUAAGACUAAGAGACUAUAGGUUCAAUCCAUGGUAGUCGCCUACUGAAGUUUUAAUAUCCUACACGUUUAGUUGGGGUGUAGCAAAAAGAUACCCCAACUACACUCCACAAGACCUUCCAGAAAUCCUAUUGUUCCUCUAUCCAAAUACUGUAGGGUUAGACAAGUUGUCUUGCAAGAUUAGUCGGUAUGUGUGUAAGCUAGACUGGACACACACAAAAUAAAAAGACUAAAAAAUAUUCAUGCUCAUCCUCCUUACAACAAAAAAUAUACUAUUGCAAUUGAGUGAAUGAUAAUGUCUUUGUAGAAGAUCUUGUGUGUUUACUUUCCCAUCAAGAACUUGUCAAACAAAGACUUCAACAUCAUUAGAAGUUUUAGCUGGCCAAAGAGAGGAGAAUGCAAACGCACCCAAACAGAGAGGAAGGGAGCAAAGAAUACAUGAAAAAAAAAGUGUUACAAGAGAAACCCUUAGAUGGCUUGGGAGCCCAAAAUUUGGAAUCCCUUCACCCAUGAUGGAACACUUCUUUGGGAAAAAUAGAAAGAAGACGAAGGAUCAUUGAAUCGAAGAACCUAAACUUUCAAAUUUACAUACAAAAGUGACUACCCUGAAGGAACCGAACUUUCAUGGAGAGAACAAGAUGAAAGAAAGUAGGGUCAACCAAAAUAAUAAAAAUAAACAAUUGCAACAGAAAAACUGUUUGACAUACAAACAUGACAGCACAGAAGGAACCGAACAGAUCCUAACCUAUUGAGAAAUAAAAGGCUUAAGAAAAAAACCCAGUGAAUAAGUACAAACGUCAUUAAACACAGACGCCCAACGCGAGGCAAUAAACCUAUCUGAACAGAAGGCUCACCUUGAUGAAUUGCAUGAACUCACUGCAAUGAUUGUUGACAAAUUCCUUUCUUGGACCAGCAGGGUUGGCAAGCUCUUCCAUGACUCCUCCUGCUAGUUCUAAAACCCUCACAAUUCUCUGCAGGAAUGAAACACAAAAGUUGGCCAAAAAAUUAUAUCAACAUGGUGCUGCAAUAAAGACCAUGCAAAGAACUAGAAACAAAACGUUUGUGAUAUUGAAAGUAAUUCCAACCUUCUCCACAUUUUGGAGGCGCUGCAAUGAAGUAUUAUGGGCCGGCGGAUCCAUCAAGAGCUAUGCUGGCUGUGAUAAAUCACACAGCAAAAAGAAAUUUAAACAAACUAAACCGUGAACAAAAUUUUAAAAAAAAAUUACUGGUAAACAAACCAAAAAUAGUGUCCUAAUAAGUAAUAAAGGUUAACAUCUCAACUAAAGCUGAAAUCAUCCGUUAUUACAAAGGAUCUCUUCACCAAAGAACCAGGUUUAAGGUUUCUGCCACAUCCAAUAGAUUGUGAAGGCAUUAACGAUGAACAAUAUAGAUCCUCAUAAAAAUCUGGGAAACUGUAGGAAGAUCUACAUAGAGGAAAAGAAUGGAAGGAAAUCGGGCAGGCUAGGGUUGGAUUUGGGAACUCCAACUUGGGAUAGGGAUUUGCUAGGUGGCUGCUUCGGAUUCGAGCAUCCCAUGGGCUUUUGUGAAAGUAGCAUUUCAAGUCUCAAAAUUACUUCAACAACAAUUUCACCCUCAAACCAACUUAAAAAGUACCUAAGAAGUAUCUAAGUGCCUCUUUAACUAUCAAAACUUUAAAAAAAAACCUAUAAAAUACGCAAGAAGUAAAUGGUUCAUGACAUUCACUUUGAUUAACAACCUAAAAAGUUUCUAUAGAUUUUUUCCAAUAAGUUUCCCAAUAGAGUGCAUUGUUUACUAGAGUUGAAAAUAGUCCAAAUGUAUAUAAAAUGAACCAAUUACAGACUCACAUAGAUAAUUUGCAUUUGACACCUAAAAAAUACACCAACCCCAAAUCCAUACAUAGAAAAAUAAAUAAAUAAAUAAAACUUCAAGAAGAUCAAGAAAACUAUUGAAAUUAAAACUGAAAUUAGAGAAUUAAAAGUAAAGUUAGUGAAAUUGAAGAUUCUUAAUGAACAUAAUAAAGCUUGAAAUACCCACAUCUCAAAACUUCAUUUAUGUUGUUGAUUGUACGCAUAGUAUUCAUUUCACGCUUUAUUAAAGUAAGAACAAAAAUUUCAACCAUGUUUUAAGCUUACCUCAGGAAAAAAAAAACGACGAUAAGGUGACCUGCGACGAUGAGCAGGACCAAAACGACGCGAGUGGAUUGAUGGCAACCGGAUUGUAUGUUCGACGACGACUACAAGGAAACGUGCGGCAGCCGCGGUGGAUUGUGGGUGAGGGUAAUUUUGUUUAGAAAGGGAAAAAUGAAAAGUGGGGGAAAAUAAAACGUGGAUAAAAAAAAGUUGGGUGGGGGUAAAAGAGGGAAAAUGAAAAGGAGGUGAGAGUUUAUUUUUCAACUCACUUCUCUCACCACUCAUUUUUAAAACGUGAGAUGGAAAAAUAAAGGAAUUUUUUUUAAAUUAUAAGAAACCACCGUAAUAUUUGCUUCACAAUUUUGAAAACAAAAUUUACACUCAUAAAUAUUAAAAAUGUCCUAAUCAACAUGGGAUUAAUUGGUUACACGCAUGUGUAAUUCUUCUUCUAAAUAAUUAUGAUAUAUGAUCCGAUGAAAAAAAUGUUUCAAAUUCAAACAAUCGUCUUGACCACAUUAAACAUUGUGUUAACUAUGGUAUGCCCAUUGUUUAGAUUAACGUCCCAAAAAACAAUUUUAAAUUGGAUUAUCUUUGUUAAUUUAAUAGUGUUAGAAUUAUUAGAGUGAUUUGAGAUUUUUGUGGAAUGAUAUUGGUUAAUUAAUUAAGUUGGGGAAAAUAGAAUAAUUAUAUUAUUGGAAGAUAAGAAUAAUUAUAUUAUUGGGGAUAAUAUAAUUAUUUAGGAAUAUAUGUUAUUACGGUAUUAUUUAAAUUUUGGAAAUAAUUAUUAUUAUAUUAAAGGAAAUAUAAUUAUUAAGUUGGUAUAUUUUUAUUUCAGGGAAGAAAAAGAAAAAUACGAUUGAAUGGAUAAUUAAUUAAAGAGAGAGAAUGGUUGUUUUUGGAAGAGAAAAGGAAAAGUGAGAUAUUAGGAAAAUAAAUAAUAAUAAUAAUGAUAUUAUUAUUAUUAUUAUAAAGAAGCUUUUGGUUUGCGUGCAAUUCAUCUUCUUCCUCCCUUUACCACGCAAACCUUGGUCACACGUUGUCGCUCUUCUACACUUGUCACUCAUGCAGACAUUGCUACCAUGGAGCAAAGGUAUAGAGAUUUGUUGUUCGAAGCGUUGGCACAAUGUCAGUCUACCCAGAAGAUCGAGACAAAUCAUGUUCAGACACUAGCUGAAAAUGUUAAGAUCCAAACUACAUGAGUUCAGGCCCCUAUUGUAGCCCAGAACCUACCUGAUAUUCUUUUAGCGAAAGCCAAGCAUGAGGGAUGUUAGGAAGUAUAACCGUUGGACUUUUGAUGGAUCCUUAGCAAACUCCACUAAGGGGCAGAUGUGGUUGAGUUCGAUGGAGACUAUAUUUUAUUACAUGAAGUGCUCCAACAACCAGAAGGUUCAGUGCGUCGUGUCUUUACUGACUGACAAAGGCAGAGGCUGGUGGGAGUCCACCGAGAGGAUGUUAAGUGGAGAUAUGAAUCACAUCACCUAAGAGUAGUUUAAGGAGAAUUUUUAUGUCAAAUUCGUAUCCACCAUAGUGAGAGAUGCCAAGUGCUAGGAGUUCCUAAAGCUGAAGCAAGGCAAUAUGAUCAUGGAGGAGUAUGAUCAGGAAUUUGACAUGUUAUCUCGGUUUGAACCUGAGUUAGUGAGAACUGAGGCUAAGAGAGCCAACAAGUUUGUUAGAGACCUUAAGUCAGAGAUCUAGGGUUUCGUUCGAGCCCUUAGACCAGCUACCGGGUUGAUGCACUACGCAUGGCAGUGGAUUUGAGUUUGCAUUAGAGGUUAGAGCUAGCCAAGGCUUUAGAGAAGGGGUCAACCUCGGGACAGAAGAGGAAGGCUGAGUAGUAGCCUGCUGACAUUACCUUUAGAUAUUCGAGUUCAGGUGGCACCUUCCAUUGUCACCAACAGGAGGUCACUAAGAUAGGAGGUACCACGAGGAAGUUGCCUACUUGUCGUACUAGUGGAAAGCAUCAUAUAGGUCGUUGCAUGUCAAAUAAGAGGGUUUGUUUUACAUGCAACCAAGAGGGGCACUUAGCAAACAAUUGCCCUCAAGGUGUUGUUGCCACUAAUCAGUAAGGGGUCGAGAAGCCUGCACAUAAAUGACAGAUACGCUUCCAACGUUGGACAUUGUGCACUAGUUUUGCUUAUUUAAAUUUAGUUUGUUGAGAGUUAUUGAUUUCACAUUAGGAGAAUUAUUUGUUUUAUGGACAAUGAAAUUAAUUAGAUAUUUGAUUGAUGAAUAUUUGAUAGAGAAGAAGGUUGAAGGAUUUGCGGUGAAAUGACUCCAAACUUUUUGAAAAUAGUUAAGCAUUAGUUGUUUUGGUCAAAGUGUUAUUAUUAAAGUAUAUGUUUUGGUAUGUAUUUAUUAUAUUUGGCAUUUAGGUUGACCACCAUUGUGUUUUGAGUUUUGUUGAUAGUAUAAAAGAAGUUAAGAAUAAGAUUUUGCGAUAAGAAAAUUUCAAGGUUGUAACAAACUUACAUCCUAUUCCUACUACUUCGACGUUAUCGUCGCAAUACCAUUUGGGGUGUGACAAUUUAUGUCAGCUGUAGUAAUAUAUUGUUCAUUUUAUUCUUAUUCUUCUUUUAUUCCUUGAACUGGGGUCUACUCCUCGAAUAAAAUAGUUUCUUUCAUUUUUUGUUUUUUUUUGUACAACAAGAAUAAAAAAUUGACGUUCCUUUCAAAGUUAGACCCUUAUACAACAGUGUAAUGCAUGUCUGUCUUGUAAGGGUGUAGUAACGUCCCAAAACCUAAGGUAAUAUUGAAUUUAAUUAUCUUAAUUUUAUUUAAUUAUGUUGUAACUAUUGAGCAUUUACUUGAAAUAUUUUUAUUUAAAAUUGAUGAUUGCGUGGAAUUAGAAUUUAUUAAAUAUUUGUUGAUUGAAUAUUUAAUUAAUUAAUAGAAUUGGAUUCUUUGUCAGCUGGGAAUGAAUUUAAUUAAAUAAUUUGGGUGUUAUUUUAAUUAAAUUAAAGUGUGAAAUUUUUUUGUGAGAGAUUUGAUAAUUAUAUGUAUAUGUUGUUAUAUAUAUAUAAUUACUAUGGAAAAGAGCGAAGAUAAUUAUAUUUAUGAAAACUAUUAUAUAAGAUAAUUAAUUAUUUGAAGAAAAAUAAAUCUUGAUUGUAGAGAUAAGUUGAUAUGAUUGGAUAAAUAAGGAAGGAGAAGGAAUUAGAUUUAUUUAAAAGAAAAUUUGAUAAUUAUAUAUUGGAAUAUAAUUGUUGGAAAAAGAAAUGUAAGUUUUUAUUAAUUAUUAAAUUAUUUGGGUGUUAUAUUCGGGAUUGGAGUUAAAAUUUAAUUAUUGGGUUAAGAUAAUUCAGGUUGGAAUUUAUGAUAAUUUAAAGUAAUUAAUUUAUUGGAAAAGAUUUUGUUAAUUUAGAAAAUUGAGGAUUUAAGUUAAUUUGGGAUCUUCAAAUAAAAAGUCGAUGUUGUGGAAUUGGAAUUAAUUAAUUAUAUAUAUAUAUAUGAAUAUGUAAUAAUAAUAAUAAUUAUUAUUAUUAUUAUUAUUAUUUUCCUUUGUCGGCUUGUUUUCUUUGUGUUUGUUUCCCUACUCUGCUUUUUGGGUUGUUUUGCCUAUUUGUGCUUUUGUUAUUCUUUAUUUGGUUGCUUUUGUUGUUGUUCUUUCGUUUGUUCUUUUGUUUUUGGAGUGUUUGUGAGCGUUGUCCGCUUUUGUACCUUGGCCUCAGGCUGUGAGGUGCUCCUUGUUUUUGUAUAAGGAUUUGAGGACAAAUACGAUUUUAAUUUCCACAUUAAAAAAGAAGAAUUUGGGAUGAUUGAAGUCUGAAAAUUCUAAAAUGUAGAAUUUUUGUUUUUGUGUGUUCUUGUGAUAGAAUGCAUGAAUAUUUGGAAUAUUCAAGUGAGGAUUGAUCUUUCUUACUUGUUGAGUGCUUUGAAGAUUGAGGGUUGAUGAAAGUUUCUAACUUUGUCUGAUUCUUGGUUUCUUAGAUUAUCUAAGCAAUUUGUAUGUAGCCUAUCUUGGAGGUUGAAAUCAAAUUGGUUCUGGUUGAGUCUUGUUGUUUAACAUAGUUCUUAGAUCCAAUGUCCAAGGGUGCCUUAUCACCUUUUUUUAGGACUGACUCAAGAAGUUCUCAAACUUGGCUCAUUUUCUUUUAAGGAAUGCAUUUUCGAUGGUUUUUCACACCCAUCAAACGUUCGUCACUGUUUGGAAGCAUUGGCAAUGUUUUCAACCCUUUUGGUUGGCACCUUAGCCCUACCCAAACAAGAUCGCUUUCCGACCUAUAUUUUUUAGUAAAUGUGUAAGGGACCAUGCCAGGAAUGUAGAUGAAAGUCCAUGGAUUGGAAUUCCUAAACCAUAAAGGCUUACGACCAAGAUAAAGCAAAGAAACAGUCGAAGGAACAGUUUUCAACAAAAAAAUAAAAAAAAAACAGAGUCCAAACAAAGGUUCCUCGAUGUUGUUUUUAGGACCUACAUAUAGAAGUUUUCAAACUUAACCAAUUUUCUAUUCAAGCUUUUGGAUCCCAACAUAAAAAUUUGAACAAAAAAAGAAAAAAAUAAAGUGCUUUGGAUCUUCUUUUUUUUUUUUUUUGCUACUUUUUCUUUUUUUCAACUUUUCUUUUGCUACGUUAUUUUUAUUUCUUUACUGAUUAUUUUUUUAAUGAUUCAGAAGAGAUUUGAAAAAUAUUUCAAAACAAGUUGUAGUACGUCAAAUAUUACAUGCAAAGAAAUUUUGGAAACAAAAAAAUUGAAAUAAGUAAAGAUAAAAAUUCACCUUAAGAGUCAACCGAGGAUGAUAACCAAAUGCUCUGAUACCAAAUGAUAAACGUCCACUAUGUUUGUUAGAUGCAAAGCUAGAGGUCCUUCCCAGAUUCUUGCAAACAUUCACAAAAAACCUAAAAUCUACGAUAGUCACUCUUAGAUCCUAAGACAAUUCACUCCAUGAAUAGUUUGAUCAAGACUAAUCCAAUGAAUUGAUUUUUUACAUCAAAUCUAAAAUAGGAUUUGAACAAGAUAACAUCAAAAGGAGUUGAAUAAGCACAUGCUUUUUAAUAUUGAUAUUCUACUUUUUGAAGAGCAUUACAAGUCAUUUUAUAGGCUAAAUGGUUAUGCAUUGGGUGGAAGCUCAAUACUCACACUUAAAUGCUAAUUAAAGAAAAUAUAUGCAUGGGUGAAAACAUAAUAGCCACCCAAAUACAGUUAAAUACCUUUUGAAGAAAAUAAAACUUAAAACAAGGCUACAUACUAAAUUAAAAGCCAAAAUAAAUAAAUAAGUAAAUAAAAACUAAAAAUGUAGAAAGUCUUUACAACGUCUUCAAUAACUCCUCUAGAACUUUUGCCAUGUCAUCAUUGAUCAAUUCUCAUCUUGACUCAUUGAACUAACAUUGUAAAUAAUUUUUUGCUCAAAAUUAUUUAUCGUUUCAUGUGAAUUUGCUAAUUUUUGAAGUUGUAGUGUAAAAGUCUCUUGAAUCUUCUUUGUCUUGCUUCUAGUAAUUGGUCCUCACGUACAUGAAAAGGUUCAAUGGUUGAAUUCACAUCACAACAUCAUCUAGGUAUAAUGACGGUUGUUUAUGGUAGGGGUUGCAAACUAACAUCUCUUCCCAUGUUAUUUUAGGCAUACUAUAAUAGUUGUUUAUGAUGUUAGUGAGGAACUCUAACAUGUAUAUUAACUUUUAUUAUUGUGUACUACAUGCGUUAGUUUAAAACUGACAUCAUAACUAUGUUAACUUGCAACAAAAAUAUUAGCAAAGUAUGAAAAUCAAAUUCUGUAUAAAUGAUUUUUAUAAUAGGAGCAUUUUUAAAAAUGAUAAAAUAAAUUAAAAUAUUUACAAGCUAUAGCAAAAUUUUUGGAUUCAAUCAAUGAUAGUCACUAAUAGACUUUGAUUUUUCAUAGCUAUCAAUGUCACUAAUAGAAGGAUAUCAUUGUCUAUCAAAUGUUUGCUAUUGAUAAAAUAUAAAAUUUUGUUAUAGCUUAGCUAUUUUUGACAACUUUCUUUUAUUAUACUGAUAAUUCUUUGUCCCGUUUCAACUAAUUUCUCCACACAAAUUGUCGCAACAAAAGGAUCGGUUUAAAGGUGUGACUAAAAUAAGUGAUGGGGUUGGGGAGUAAACAGAGGUAAAAGGGAUGGGUUUGAAGCCUUAAGAAGCAACCAAAUCAAAAGAGGCAAAAUUACACCACUAGUAGCUGUGUAAUUUUAGAGCGCAUGGGUUCUCGGUAGGCAUUGCGGAAAGAGUAUUUCGCGCAUAGACAUUGCAUCUUAGCGCCUAGCUGCUUCAACAAUUUUCUAUAUAAAACUCAUGGAGGCGGAGGAGACACUCAAAGUUCUUUCUCCAUCUUUCUACCACUUUUUGGUUUGAUUUCUUUUUUUACUGUUUAUUUUUAAAAAGUUUUCUUCACUGGACUGAAUGCGUUUUGAUUUAUGUUUCUUCAACUUUGUUUAAUUUAGAUGUGUAUGGAAUGGCUCCUCUAUCAUGGAUUUAUGUUUAUUCGUUCAUCUAGUUUGAAUAACUCAUGUAUCAAAAGUUGAAUAAUGUAUGCUAAGUAAUAUUGAUUUCCUAUAGACCUUGAAUGCGUGCUAAUUAAAUCUAGCUAGGUUCAAACAUAGAUUGGUUGAUUAAUGAAGCUACCUAGUUAACUAUGGAAUCCUAGAAAUUUAUGUGAAGGUUUAUUCUAUAAGGAUGCUUUUGAAUCCCAAUCGUACUUAAGGAUUUAGUUUAAUUCGAAUCUUAGUCACUAAUGGUUUUGAACCAAAUUUGCCACUAAUGCUACACUUCAGUAGUAAUUUUAGUAGAGUUGGUAACUAUACAUAAAUGUAUUUGAUCUAAGGUUUGCAAGUGACAACAAAUAGUUUUCAUCAGUGCACUUCCACCUAUUUAGCUUCCUUGAAAGUUCACUAACCAUCGACAUAAUCUCAAUCACACACCUUGCAUAACCAUCAAGUCAGUACUCAUGUGCAAACUCAUAACUAUGCUAAUACCACAUCUUGCAUUUUGUUUCUCUACUCCAAUUUCUCUAUUUUAAUUUUCCUUUUAAAAAAAAAGAUAUUAUCUUUCUUAAGAAAAAUUGUCAUCUUAUGUUAUAAUAGAGACGACGUUAACAUUGAACUCAAAUCGUUCCUUUUCAUGUGUUCAUGUUGUCCACAUUACCAUAACCCUUUUUUUCUGUUGAACCCUUUAUUUUUCUUCCAAUCUCUAGCUACAUUUAAUUAUUAAACUAAGCUACAUUUGAUACUUUAAACUACUUUUAAACAUCAAAGUUUUGUAACAAGCACCACACCAAUGCAUUAAUCUUAUUGUUAGCGGAUCAUCUUCUCCUAAAAUUAUAAAGUCGGGAUUGAUGGUACAUGAAGAUCCUGUGAGCUUUUUUUACCAAAUAUUUUAUCGCCCAACAACCAUUUUCAUAGUUGAAAGAAAAAAAAUAAGUAGAAUAGUUAUGAGAUUAGUUUUUUAAUAGUUAAAUGCAUAUUAAAAAAUCUACAUACCUCAUCGAUAACAAUUACUAGAUACAAAUUUACCUUUCAUACAAAUUAUAGUUAAAAACUACAAUGUAGACAUCUGAUCGAAUAAUUUCUUCACCCGAACAAAGAACUUAUACUAUAAAAAAAAUCAUUAAUAAAAAAAAGAGUGAAAUUAGGUAAAGAGGGAAAAUUUAGAUGAAUGACACCAAGAAUUUCCCCAACGAAAAGGCAAAAAAGAUAUGACCAAACGCAAGACGACAACACACUUAAAGCAAAACCUAACAACUAAAUAAAAAGAAAGAAAGUAAAACUACUUGUCGUAAGCUAAGCCCCAAACAAACGAAACAUACUCAUGGAUCGGAUCGGAUCGGAUCUGAUAGGGUCGGGUCGGGUCCUUUGAUCUUCCCCUGGUUGACACCACAUGCCGGCUUUUACUUACUAUUGCACUCUCGAGAGAGAACGCAAAGAGAAUUUGGAAAUGGAAGUUCGUGUUCGUUCGAUGGAAUCCGUGAAGUGAGGAUCAAAAAGAAAAACCAUAGCAAAGAGAAUUUUGCGGAGAACGCAAAUCGGAGUUUUUUGGAUUUUGAAGUCCAAUUUGAAAUUGUGGGGGUUCCUAGUCAAUGCUUUUGGACUCCCAACUUCAUAUUUCUGCAAUGGAAGGUCAGAUUUCUCACUCUAAUUCCGAAUUUCUCUCUCUUUUUGCCGGAUUUUUAUUCCGUUUGUCGUGGCGGUGAGUGAGGAGUGUUGGGUUUUUUCUGUUUCUCUCUUUUCUUUUUCCUUUUUCUCUCCCUACUUUUUGUUUCUUCUUGGAAAAGUUUUUGUGGGGUUUACGAACUGGGUGUCUUGGAUUUUCCAGAGAAUGGAGAUGGAAAUCGUGGGGUUUUUUUUUGAGGUGGACGCUUUAGGGUUUCUGGGUUAAGUUAUUUUGUUGGCAAUUUCAAUUUUGAAGUCUCAUUGAGUUUUGAUUCAUAAUUGUGGCGUAUUUGGUAUGAUGAUUGGUGUAGUGUUAUUGAUUGUGGUUCUAAUAGUUGGAAAUGAAAUUAACUGCUGAUAAAUAUGUCUGUUGGUCCCUUCUUAUAUGGAAAUGAAAACUUUUCAUCCCUGUUGCAAACAGCCUCUUGAGUAAUAGUCACUCAAGUUGAGUGGUUAUGGCUGAAACCAAUGUCCUAACAAGCACAGAUAUGGAUACGAGAUACAUAUAGUGCAUGGUGAGGAUAGGGUGAUGCGUCGUUGAAGAAAGAAUUUUGCAGGCGAAGGACACAUUUACUAAAAUAUACAUCUUUUUUAUACAAGAAGGAAAUUUUGAAGUCAAAUAAGUUUAAGCACUUAUAUGUUUAAAAAUGGGUUUGAUGCAUUGACCCUCAAUUUAUUUGAAUUCUUAUGUUUAUCAAUUGUUGGACCUAUAUAGAUUUUGUUUAACUAGUGUCUGACAUAUUUAUUAUGCUAACAAGUGGUCUAACGCAUGUCCAACUUGUGUCAGAGUGUCUGGCUGGACAUACUAGCCAAACUAAAGUUUCCGUGGUUUUUAAGAGACCAGUGUGUCAGAAGGGAAAUUUUUAAUGCUUGUUGGCCUCUAUGUAACCCUUUUCAUAUCUAGUCAAUUGUGAUAGUUGUAUGUAUUUUGGGGCAUUCUGAUCUCUGUUUCUGUUGGAUGCUGAUAGUUAUUAUGCACGGGGUGUGACUGUAAGAAUUAUGAGUGAUAUGGAGCUCAGAUGUAACUUAUGAAAUACAACUUUGGGUUCCAUUAUUUAUAAGUGAUCAUUUGGAAUCUCCAACAAAAUAACGUCAUGGAGCUUUUAUGUGGAGAAGUAACUGCAUAAAUAAGUAGAUGUCUAGUGUGAUUGGUUUUUACAACAGGAGUGUAUGUAAUUCUAUUUCAUAUGACAACUUUGUCAUUUGUUUCUUGAUAUUUUACUUUUUACUACCUUAAUGGAAGAUGAGUUUUUGCAUGUGGCAUUCAUAAGGUAUUUGUGUAUUGAUAAUGAACGCCUAUUAGUUUCAUCCAUCUUUCUUAUUUAUGCUGAAUUUUCAUCUUUUUGGCAAGUAUUUGAAAGUGUGUUUCUGUUAGCAUCUACAACUUUUGUAUUAACCUGAUGUAAAUCAAUACCUACUGUUUCCUAGUUUACUGUUUUAGCUCACUGUUACAGUUUGUUAAAACUACUUAGUUAGUUACAAAAUAACCAACUUGUAUUACUUUUUCUCAAUAAAUAAGCAUCUCCUCUCACAUUGAGAGGCAGAAUAUUCAUUCAUUCAAAAGUAGUCCUUAGUGUUACACCAAUUGGUAUCAGAGCACCAAAAGUUUCUGGGCCAAAUGGCUGUCCGACGUGUAAACCCGGCGUUGGCAGAGCAACUUGCUCAAAACUAAGAGGCGGAUGCAACCCCUUCCUCUCUCCAAGAACGUCCUCACGACGCUUACUGUCCGUGGAAGCUUCUGUUGAGAGAAUUGAAGCUACACGUCAAGAAGUUUUGCAACGACUUGAAAACUUAGCAUCUCCUCAAAUAAUGCAUCAAGAACGUCAAGAAUUCGUCCGAGAUUGGGGCAGUGAGGCAUUCUGGGGCUGGAAUACAUAGAGCUGGGCGAAAUCAUCAAGAAAGAUAGUUUGAAGUUCAAGAAAGGAGGAGAAUAGUCCAAGAUUACCAAGAACCCCAUCCAAGAAUCCAAGGUUACUACCAAAAACCUCAAGAUUGGAACUCUACUGACGAUGAACUGCAAGAAAGGACACUAAAUGAUCAUAACAGAAGGUUUCGGCCACAUGCUGAUGAUAGAUCUUUCUAGUUAUGACGAUAAAAGAAGCAUAGAAAAUUUCCUUGAUUGGCUAAAGAAUACUGAAUUUUUUUUUAAUUACAUGAACACACCCAAGACGAAGAAAGUACAUCUAGUGACUUUAAAGUGGUGGGGGCAAACUGAAGUCAAUAGGAGGAGAAAAUGGAAAAAGACAUAUUGCUUCUUGGGAGAAAAUGAAGAAGUUGAUGAAGGUCCGAUUUCUUCCACCCAACUACGAACAAACCCUCUAUAAUCAGUACCAAAAUUGCCAGCAGGGAAGCAGAACUGUUGCUGAUUACAUAGAAGAAUUCCACCGAUUGGGAGCAAGAACUAAUUUGAUGGAGAAUGAACAACACCUCAUUGCUCGGUUUGUUGGAGGAUUGAGGUUUGAUAUCAAGGAAAAGGUAAGAUUACGACCUUUCCUAAAUCUUUCUGACGCCAUCAUGCCAUCACUCAUGCAGAAUCUGUAGAAGAGAUUAAUGAAUUGAAUUCAAGAAAAAAAUACAAGAAGAGGUCCGUGGAAUGUCAACACUAGCAAUAAGUCUACUGCUGCACACUCUUCUCUUACUCAGUCCACUAAAGAACAAGAGAAAGACAAAGCUGGUGAUCCAAAUGGGAAGAAGGCUGAAGCAAUUCCCAAGAAACAAGCAGAGAAUGUAUAUCAAAGACCUAAUUUGAGGAUUUGCGAACAAACUGACCAUCUAUCCAAGAAAUCCAUAGAAGAAGGGAGAAUACCUAUGAAUUCCAAUUGAUGAACUUAUUGUUCCGAUGCCCCUUAGCUAAAAAUGAAAAAGGUGUCAAUCCAAAAAAGAUCAAUAGUCAUCUCUUCAUCGCUAACCUUGAUGUGCUGGAUGAUGCCAAUGAAGUAAAGGAAUUCCAUGCAACAAACAAUUUGCCAAAUACACUUGUUGAAGUUGCUGAAAAUUCUUUCAGACAGAAUUAAGGAUUUCAAUUGGGAAACUUAAGUUCAAAGAGUAAAUCUCAGGGACCAAGCAGGAUUGAUACUGAUGCUUUUGAAGACAACAUUUGUGGUACAAUAUUUCACAAUAGAAAUAUCCAUAAGUUCAAUACUAAUGAAAACUAUAUAGAAGAUGACGAUUUAUCAAAUAAAAAUGUGAAGGGUGAUAUUGUGGCAAACAAACUUCCUAGUUGUUCAAGGAAGAGGAGAUCAUGUAAGCCUACACGAAGAUACAUUAAAGAAUUUCCAAGCAUUAAAAAAGAGCCAACAAUCUUCCUCUAUGAGACAUUCAACGUAAUAUUUUUGUUCAAAACAUAGGACGUUGGUUUGGUCAUACACCAUGCACUUGAUGGGUGAAAGUUAACUUUCACGACAUCUUGAAACAAACUCGGGACGAGUUUGAUGCUAGGGGGUGGAAUGAUGUAAAUAAAUACCUACUGUUUUCUAGUUUACUGUUUUAGCUUACUGUUAUAGUUUGUUAAAACUACUUAGUUACAAAGUAACCAACUUGUAUUACUUUUUCUCAAUAAAUAAGCAUCUUCUCUCACAUUGAGAGCCAGAAUAUUCAUUUGUUUCUUUAUAUUCUACUUUUUACUACCUUAAUGGAAGAUGAGCUUUUGCAUGUGGCAUUCAUAAGGUAUUUGUGUAUUGAUUAAUGAAAGCCUAUUAGUUUCAUCCGUCUUUCUUAUUUGUGCUGAAUUUUCAUCGUUUUGGCAAGUAUUUGAAAGUGUGUUUCUGUUAGCAUCAACAACUUAUGUAUUAACCAAAUAUUCUUAAGAUGCUGAUUAUUAUUUUAUUAUUUUAAAACUUAUUCUUCUACUAGCUAGGGUUUUAUACACACACACACACACACACACACAUAUAUAUAUAUGUAUAUCCUAAUUUUGAUCACUCGAAGAGUGGUUCUGAGAAUCCCAAGUCACAUUUUAGGGAGUGAGGAGAAGUCUGUACUGAGUAGGCACAUUUUAGAGUUGGCGUCAUUGUAGUAGUUAAAGCUACCAUCACACAUAAAGUACCGACAUUUAUGUAUAUAGAGAAUUCAGACCAGCUUGAGGCUAAUUGAUCAACUUCCUCUGACAGGUAUAUCACCAGACCAGGAAUCAGUGGGUUCUGGAACAAAAAGGUCUAGUGUAUCAACAGGAAGCAAGUCUAGAUACCGGAAGGAGUUUCUUAACAGAUUUUCAGACAGUGAGAUCUUCACAGCUAAACUUGAGGAUUGGUUCGAAGAAAUAUCAGAGAGUUCUAGAACCAAAAAGUCUGUUUUUGAUGUGCCAUUUGAGUUGAUUGAUUUACAGAAGUUUGACUAUGCACUAGAAGGGAUUUCAUUUCAGCAGCUGAUUCGAAUGCCCAGCCCUAUAUAUGCUUCUGCCUCUGAUGGCGUGGAAGCAACUGCUUAUCUUGCUGUUGAAGAUUUUCUUCAUGCAAGUGUGAAAGGUUUGUGGGAGGCAUUUUGGAGUCAAGAUCAGCCCAUGCCUUUUAAUGUUGGCUGCUUAUACAGGGAUAAUUUAAAAUUUUACCAGGCUGAGAAGGCAAUUGCUAGUGGGAAGAUUGAAGGUCUUUCUGCCACUGGCAUAUUGCUAAAGAAUCAUAGACAUCCUCACGGGAAGUGGGACCAAAUUCUUACUCUUGCUGUACUUAGUUCUGAUAUUGGAAAUCUCACUGUGGAUCGUGAGAGCUGCCCUUCUCUGUCUAUUUUAGGUGAGGCCCUUUUUUAUGCUAUCCGAUUGCUAUUGUCAAGAAGCUUGAGCAAAUCAAACUAUUCACCAAGUUUGAGCUCUGUCUUUGUUCUUCUUGUUGAUUCACGGUAUGGAGGAGUUGUGAAAGUUGAAGGAGAUUUAAGUAGAUUGGAGUUUGACCUGAAUAAUGUGUAUGAAUGUGCUGCUAAAUGGAUAAAAGGAUAUGCUACAAUAUCAGUUUCUCCAAUUGAUAGGAUCUGGAACGAGCUUGGAAAUGCAAACUGGGGAGAUAUUGGGGCAUUACAGAUGCUUUUUGCAACCUUCCAUUGUAUUGUUCAAUUUGCAGGAGUUCCCAGGCACUCCAUUGAAGAUCUAGCUGCGGAUCAUAGUUCUCGUUUGCAAACUAGAAGAGUGGAGAGGCAGUUGGGAGAUGUCAGAGUGAAUGGAAAUGGCUUGUUUAGGUUUCAACAACAAAGUGUUUCUCCUGAAAUUGUUGAAGUUCAAGAAGAUUCAAUCAAAUUUAAGUCCGAAGAGAUAGUAAAGUUGGAAGUAGGAUCCGUGCUGUGGUUGGAGGAUUCAAACCGGCAAAAAGGUUAUCAGAUUAAUGAACUCCUGACUACUGGGGAGCUUCAAUUUUAUAUAGCUUCUCCUGUCGAAGAACCUGGAAAGAGUCUGUUUCUUUACGUUGGAUCUCGAAUUUCUCAGCUAGAAGCAUGGGAAGAUAUGAACUUGUGGUAUCAAGUGCAGAGACAGACCAGGGUGCUAACUGUAAUGAAACAGAAAGGUCUAUCUAGCAAGUACCUACCUCAGUUAAGUGCAUCUGGGAGGAUCAUUCAUCCCGGUCAGUGUCGUAGACCUAGCUCAGGUGGCAACUGUGACCACCCUUGGUGUGGCACGCCCAUUCUUGUUACCAGCCCAGUUGGUGAAACGAUAGCUGACAUGGUAAAUGGAGGUAGAUUUAAUUCUGAAGAAGCAUUAAAGUGCUGCCAUGACUGCUUGUCUGCACUCUCAGCUGCAGCUUCAGCUGGAAUUCGUCAUGGUGACAUCAGGCCGGAGAAUGUGGUUUGUGUGAGAUCUGGUGUAAGACGGCCUUAUUUUGUUCUUAUUGGCUGGGGACAUGCAAUUCUUGAAGACAGGGACCGUCCUGCUUUGAAUCUUCACUUCUCAUCCACCUUUGCACUACAAGAGGGGAAACUCUGCUCGGCCUCAGAUGCAGAAAGCCUAGUUUAUAUGCUCUAUUAUGCCACUGGUGGUGCUUUUCCUGAUCUGGAUUCUGUUGAGGGGGCGUUAUUGUGGAGAGAGACCUCUUGGUCUAGGAGAUUAAUCCAGCAGAAGCUUGGUGAUAUGUCUACGGUUCUGAAAGCAUUUGCCGACUAUGUGGAUAGUCUAUGUGGAACACCAUAUCCAAUGGACUACAACAUCUGGUUAAGAAGGUUGAAGAGAAAUAUUCACGAUGAAGACCCAGGGAAGGAAAUUGAUACGUCAGGCUAGGUCUCUUUUGCUAGCUAUGUUGUAUAAAAUUGCUACUCUAUCUCCUGACAUCAUCUCUUCCCAAUUGUGAUUAUGCAUUUUUGGUUGGAGAAGACUGGAUGCUGCAGGUUAGUUGAUGGCUUAAUUACAUUCCCAAGGUUCAAAGUUUUGGACUCAAAGGUGGCUAUUACGAAGGAAUGUUCCCAUCAGCUAGCCAUCUUUCGUUCGUUUUUUAGCCUGGGCCCUCUUCAGAUGUGAUGUUUUCUUUUAGUAUGUUGAAUUGAUUAACAUCUUAGCGUAGUCACAGUAUACCAAUUGACUGGAAUAUAUAUUGAUAUAUACACCUAACAAGAUUGCACUGCUCUUAACCUCCAUUAGCGUUGGUCAACCAGAGACAAGUGCAGUGACGACAAUAUCGACACUGAUUUAUAACUGCGUGGACCAAGGUAGAUGCCAAAAUGUUUCGAGGUAGUUUCUUAGGUAAAGUAGAAUUUAGUAUUGAAUUUGGUGUGAAGAGUACAUUUGUAUAUGUGUGUCUUUGGCUGUUACUUGGGAUUUGUGAUUAAGUUGAUUGAAGUGUAUUUAUUUGGUAAUUUGGGUCAGUGUCCUUGAAAUAAUCAGAAUUGAGGAAAAGAAGAGUUGGAGGUCUAUGUUGUCGAACAGUAUAACAUUCAAAAGAAACUUGUAAUUUCUCUGUAUGGAUAAAAGCUUUAUUUGUAUUCCUCAUUCUACUUCGCUACUACUUUUUUUGUAUAAAGUAUUUGCAGCCUGAUGCUGCUGAAAUUUUUCAGUCACAAGAGAAAACGUGGAAUUAAAAUAAAUAUCUUUAUAGUUAGCAAUAAAGAUUACCCUUAUGUUUUCAUAAACAUUUUAAGAGUAUCAAUAAAUGAACAUUUUAAAACCAUCAAUUAAUGAAGUAGAAGUUUUGAUUUACCAUAUUAUUUCAAAACAUAGCUACCUGAUUUGAACAUCACCACGCAAUUCUAAACCUUAAUUUCUAUUCAAAAUCUUUUAGAAUCUAUACACCAAAGAUAGUAAUACUGCAACUUCAGAAAAGUUCAAAUCAACUUACGGGUACAUAAUUUAUACUCAAAGGGGUACUUAUGAAAAUGAUCGAGUGAUUUUUCAAUUUUCCAAGAGAAAAAAAAAAGUCCAUUUUGCAGCAUGAUAAUUUUUAAAGGCAAGAAUUGCAAUAGGUAUUUGAGAGCUUGAAUUUAUGUAGCUGAAGUAAACAACAACAAACUCGGAUUUCUAAUAUAAGUUCAAAUUAAAAAUUUAACCCCAGAUUCAGUUUAUAAACAUAAAUCCAUGAGCAAAUCCACGACUCUUGAUUGUAUUAAAUUUUCAAGGGAGGAGCUGGUCAUAGGAUGUGAGAUCUUCAAACUGUCUUCAGGAGAGAAAAAUCUCAAUUUGAUUAAGAACAGUACAACAUAACAAAGCAGUAUGAAAAUCACAUUGAGUUUAUCCACUUCCUGAAUCCUUGAAAAAUUCUUACAGGAUGCUCAAAUCAAACACUUGGAAACUAAAUUAAGCAAUUGCAACACAAUAAGAACACCUACAAAUUUCCUUAAUCAGCAUCCAUUUCUUCCAGGGCAGCUUUAGCAGCUGCCUUUGCUUCCUCUAGGAGAUCCUCCGGGACCUGAAAUUGGUUAAAAGCAUGUGGUUAAAGACUACUCUAGCAGGCAACCAAAUUCCCUAAAUUAAACUCGGAAGAAUGUCAGGAAAAAUGGAUGUAGAGAUGGUUGAUGCUACUACUGCAUAAAGAAUGUGACAACCACUAAAUCAAAUGUUAGAAUUAGUGGGCUACAGCACAUGGGGGAUUUGUCCUAAAUAUUCUUUUCCUUUUUUUACCUCUGUAUUUUUUUCUAUUUAUUCUCCCCAAGUACCUAUUGUACAAAUCAGAAAACAAUAAGAAAAAUAUCGUGUCCCACUUUCAAUAUGGUAUCAGAGCUGAGACAUUGAACAAACCCUAAACAAUAUAACUAGUGAUGGAAAUCAAACAGAGGAGACAACCACCAGUUUUAGCGCAACCGUUGUUGAUGCUCAAAUCAUCACUGCCAUGUACAAAUGGUUCCGCCGCCUUCCAAAAACGUCAGAAAGCAUAAUUCAGCAGAUUUUCUCGUCGUCCACCCCACCAAAAAUCAGCCAUGCGCCGGCCCAUCCUGUUUAGAGCUGCCGACCGACCUAACAGUGCCACCCUUGUCUUCAUCCACAACCUGUAGUGUCCCCUACGUGCCAAUUCAUAUACUGCCACCUAAUUUCGACUGGCCACUACCGCUUCUACAGUCAAAUUUGUAUGGCUUGCCACCUACCGGCCUUAGUUAUCAUUCCAAUGUUAGGAACCCUCAAAUUCACUCAAUAUUUGAGGUUGGUGAAUCUUCGACACAUUCCAACCCCAACGUGCAAGCUUCCUCUUCUUCGAGAAUAUCUCAAUAGCAACUUAAAGAACUUCGACAACAAAUUACAACAAUUGAGGCUACUCUAGAGACGACAUCCAACAUCCCUGUACGAAUGUAUUCUAAGAAUCCGGCAACCUCAUUUUCUACUUUAUCCUCUUCCCAUGUGAGUGUGAAUGCUAGUCCAACCACAUUUGGAGCUUUUGUCCAGUCGGGUAUACCUCAGUCCUCUAGUCUCUUUAGUAUUUAUGGUAAGAAUCCUUGGAUCCUAGACUCUUGUGCCACAUAUCAGUUAACCGAUUCCUCUGAACACUUUGUGUCCUACAUUCCGUUUGUUGGGAAUGAGAAGAUAAGAAUUGUUGAUGACUCAUUGGCUCCCAUUGCCGGGAAAAGGCAGAUUUCUCUUUCUAACGGGUUUGCAUUACACAAUGUGUUGCAUGUGCCACAAAUUUCACAUAAUCUUCUGCCAAUUAUCAAGAUUACUCAUGAAUUAAACUGCAAAGCAACAUUCUUACCUGAUUCUGUUUCUUUUUAGGACUUGAUCUCAGGGAGGAUGAUUGGCACUGCUCGGCACAAUAGAGGUCUUUACUUGCUUGAUGAUGAUGCCUCCUUUAAUAACAUUUAUAGGUCGCGUCUUUUAGCUUCCUACUUUACUAUUUCUGAAAAAGAUCUUAUGUUGUGGCAUUUAUGUUUAGGCCAUAGUUUUAAAUAUAUGAAAGACCCAUUUCUUCAUCUCUCUUAUAAUAAAGUUGAUGUUUCUUCCUUAUCUUGUGAUGUGUUGUGUGCAUACAAGCUAAACAACAUCGAGUUUCAUUUUCCUCGCAAUCCUCUAAGCCAACCCGUCUUUUUACUCUUGUCCAUGGUGAUGUUUGAGGACCAUCCAAUGUCACUACCUCCUCUAGAAAAUGAUGGUUUGUGACCUUUAUUGAUGACCAUACUCGUCUUACUUGGGUUUUCCUGAUCUCCGACAAAUCUGAAGCUACCUCCUCAUUCUGGGACUUCACAAAGAUUGCAAUCCUACGAAGGGAUAAUGGUCGUAAGUUUUGAAACUACUCUCUUAACAAGUUUUUAUCCUCUAAAAUUAUUGUUCACCAAAUUUCUUGGACUUACACCCCCAACACAAUGAGGUUGCCGAAAAAAAAAAUCGUCACCUUUUGGAAGUUGCUCGUUCCCUUAUAUUGUCCAAUUCUCUUCCUUCCUAUCUCUAGAGUGAUGUCAUUCUCACUGCCACUCAUUUCAUCAAGAGCAUGCCCUCCUGUGUCCUUCACUUCCAGACACCGUUAGAUUGCCUCAAAGAAUCCCAUCCCUCCACCCAUCUCAUCCUUGAUAGAUUGCCUCAAAGAAUCCCAUCCCUCCACCCAUCUCAUCCUUGAUAGAUUGCCUCAAAGAAUCCCAUCCCUCCACCCAUCUCAUCCCUGAUAGAUUGCCUCAAAGAAUCCCAUCCCUCCACCCAUCUCAUCCCUGAUAGAUUGCCUCAAAGAAUCCCAUCCCUCCAUCCAUCUCAUCCCUGAUAGAUUGCCUCAAAGAAUCCCAUCCCUCCAUCCAUCUCAUCCCUGAUAGAUUGCCUCAAAGAAUCCCCUCCACCCAUCUCAUCCCAAGUGAAAAUGUUGUCAUGGAAGAGAUGAGGGCCCUUGAGAAGAUGAUAAGCAAAUAAUUGGUAUUGAUUAGUUGAAGCAUAGAACGAGUAACGUUCAAGCUAAAUUUUCAGUCUUUAAUGACGAGUUGGAACAUCGAGAGUCACUUGGACACCCAAGGGUCAUAAUGAAUCUAGAAAUUCAUAUCCAUUCACAUCUUUAAUAACGAGUUACAUGUGAAUGAAUCUGAAUUUUUAGAUUCAUUAUGACCCUUGGGUGUCCAAGUGACUCUUGAAGUUCCAACUCGUUAUUAAAGGCUGAAAAUUUGGCUUAAAUGUUACUCGUCAUGCUUCAGCUAAUCAAUACCAAUUAUUUGCUUAUCAGAAGAACAAGACUUGGGAGAUUUGCGCUUAACCUAAGGGACAUAUAAUUGUGAAAUGCAAAUGGGUGUCCACACUCAAAUACUAGGCAGAUGGCACCCUCGACAGACACAAGGCGAGGUAAGUUGCAAAAGAGUUUACUCAAACUUAUGGUGUUAAUUAUUCAGAAACUUUUUCUCCUGUUGCCAAACCAAAUACUGUUAGUCCCGUUAUCUGUUGUUGUGAACAAAGAUUGACCUCUUUAUCAGCGAGAUGUUAAGAAUGCAUUCCUGAAUGGAAACCCAGAGGAGAAAGUCUACAUGAGCCCUCCCCAGGGUUUGAAGCUCAGUUCGGUCAUCAGGUGUGUAAACUUCAAAAAUCUUUGAAUGGUCUGAAACAGUCACCUAGAGCAUGGUUUGAUAGAUUUACUACCUUUGUCAAGUCCCUAGGAUACAAUAAGGGACGCUCUAACCAUACUUUGUUUACAAAAGUCCCCAAGGCUAGGAAGAUUGGUAUUUAUUGUUUAUGUUGAUGACAUCGUUAUAUUUGGGGACGACCACGCUGAAAUUAUCCAAUUGAAAAGGAUGGGCGAUGAGUUUGAAAUCUGAAAUAUUUCCUUCAAAUGGAGGUAGCCAGAUCUAAAGAAGGUAUCUCCAUAUCUUAGAGGAAGUACACUCUUGAUUUGCUGACCGAGACAGGUAUGUUGGGGUACCACGUUGUUGAUACUCUCACUGAAUUCAACUGUAAACUAGAAAAUUCAGAUGAUAAAGUUCCAGUUGAUAAAGAACAAUUUCAACGCCUUUUGGGUAAGUUGAUUUAUUUUUCCCAUACUCAAUCAGAUGUUUCCUUUGUUGUGAGUUUUGUGAGUCAGUUCAUGCAAGCUUCCUAUGAGGAACACAUGAAGGCUGUAAACAAAAUACUAAGAUACUUAAAAACGACUCCUGGUAAAUGAUUGAUGUUCAGAAAGACGAACAUGAAAACUAUUGAGGCUUAUACUAACUCAGACUAGGCAAGAUCUGUUGUUGACAAUAAGUCUACCUCCAACAGUACCUUUGUAUGGAGAAAUCUUGUAACUUGGAGGAGUAAGAAGCAAGGUGUUGUGACCAAGAGCAGCGCUGAGGCCGAAUACCGAGCUAUGAGUUUAGAAACAUGUGAGGAAAUUUGGCUCAAGAAAGUCCUAUCUGAUCUCCAUCAGAAGUGUGAGACACCAAUGAAGCUUUUUUGUGAUAAUAAAGCCACUAUCAGUUCACCAUGAUAGAACUAACCAUGUUGAGAUUGAUCGACAAUUCAUCAAAGAAAGACUUAACCAUCAGAGCAUAUGCAUUCUGUAUAUCCCUUCGAGCCAAAAAGUUGUUGAUGUCCUCACCAGGGGCUUCUUAGAUCAAAUUUUGACUUGUGCUAGCAAGUUGGACCUUAUUGAUAUUUACGUCCCAACUUGAGGGGGAGUGUUAGAAUUAGUAGGCUUAGUCUAUUAAGGGAUUUGCCCUAAAUAUUUUUUUUCUUUUUUUUCCUCACUAUAUUUUUUCUAUUUAUUCUCCUCUUGUAACAAUUGUACUUUUAUCAAAAAAUAAUAAGAAGAAAAAUAUCGUAGUUUUUCUCCCGGUACUCGGGUUUCCACGUAAAUCUGUGUUUUUUGUCUCUACUUUCAAUAUAAAAUAAUGAAACUACCCUAGUAGGCAACCCAGAACUACACAUCGUUUGCAUGUAAAGAAUGUGAGAACCACUAAAUAAAAUAAUGAAAUGAAUAGUAAUGUGACAAUAAAAUAGUAUUGCAGCUAUAACAUCCUAAUUCUUUUCAAAGGAAUUAUGCAUCACUAAAAAAUUAAUGAACCCUAGAUUCCCAACACAGCUUGCAGAAGUCCCCAUCAUCCCAAGGAAAAACGAAGUUUGAGGUAAUCAGUUCAGAACUUGGAUACAGCUCUCCACAAUCAAAUUUAUUUACCACCAACAUUCAUUAAGCUACCCCAUACUGGUGUUGAAAAUAAGAACAAAAGAAAAGAUCGACAAAUUGUCCAGAGACUUGACUUAGAGUGUGUUUUGAUUUAAAUUUUCAAGUGCUUGAUUCUGGAAAAUGUGUUUAAAAAAAUUGGAGUAUUUGGCAAACUACCAAAAUAGGUUUCGAGAAACUUUUAAAGUUUAUUUUAAACAGUUUUUAACUUUUAUAAGAGAGUUUAAAUAAAAGACAUUUCGAAAAACGUACUUUUCUCUCUAGUUAAUAUAAACAUAUUAUAUACCCUUCAAGGAAACAUAACAAAUAUCACAACAUAUCAUGUAACAAAAUUUUGAAAAAAUGAAUGCAAUUUCAUUCAUUCUAUAACAUUCACAGUACCUUCUGAUGUUGGUGGUUUGAUUCAUCACAGAUCCAACUCAUUUCCAACUCGAAGUCCUUGUCCUUUGCCUCAUCAUGUACUCCAUAAAUACUGCUCACCAAAAAGAGCAAAACAAAGUUUAGGUUGCAAUCAAACAGUUGUUCCAAAAAACUACAUGAUCAACUGUUUCAGCAAAACUCAACAACUCAAAAGUUACUCACAUCUUGGCUACUUCAAUAACCCCUUGCCGACAGGUCAAUUCAGAGAGCUUCAACUUUUCAAUUUCCCUGUCAUUGUAUUGCUUGUACAUCAGGAAUAUUACUUAAAUUUUCAUAAAUAAGAGAUAACAUACAAUAUGCUGUAGGGAUGGUAAAUAUGCACAUAUUCAAUGGUGGUCUGCAAUUAUAAGAAAAGGAGUAUUUGAAGUUUCCCUUCUUUGACAAAAUUGCUUUAAUUAUAGGCACCUUAGUAAAAAAUAUUUCAGAAUAAAUAACCAAGUGUUUUGUUCUACAUUUUUCAAAUUCUCUUUUCAAUGUCUAUGUUUUAUGGUUUAGCAUGAGCACUUAAGCUAAAUCACUCCACACUAUGUUUUAAAGCUUGAUGCAUAAUAAACUGCAAUAGUCUUCUAGGGUCUAAGCGCAAGGCAGAAAAUAAAAAUAAAUAAAUAACAUGGACAUUUUUGUGUGGGGUACUAUAUAUAUAAAAGUACUACAACAUAAAGAAGGAAAGCAUAGUUGAAAUAGGAAUACAAAAAAAAUGAAGAAAAGAAAAACCCUAAACAUAGAAUUUUGCAUUUAGGCUUUUAGUAAACUUUAUUUUAUUUAUUUAAUAAAGAAGAAAAAUGUCUAAUAUUAUUCUUAAAAAAUAAGGAAAACUCUCCAAGGCCCAGGACUUGGGGCCUUAGGGCUUCACAAAGGUGCACACCUAAUGUGCAUUUUUUUAAAUAUUUAUGAGUAUCCAAGCUAGCUUACACGCACCUCGACUAAUUUCACACUUUAUAUUGUAUGUCUGGCCUUCUCAAGGUCAGACACCAAACCUAUCUGAGAGGACUUUUUAAAAGCCUAAUUCCACAAGUAAUUGUUUUACGCAUUUGAUUUUUUCUAAUAACACUUCUUCAAUAAGAACGCAAGAGUAUUAAAAACACUAGUAAGUUAUUCCAAACAUGAUCUUGAGUGGAGUGUGCUUUGGACAUGACUGCUAAACAUAUACGUCUUCUUAAAUACCGCAGCCUUCUUAUUUGGCAUAGAUUAUUUAUAUGAUGAAGAAAAAGUUCUACAAAAAUGCUCCAUCAAUAAUGAGACAAAGAUGUAAACAUAAAAAAUAAGAGAUAGGUUCGUUGAAGAAAACUGCAUGAGAUUUUCUACUACAAAUUAACUAGUAUCGACCAUUUUCCUCCAGUUUCUUGCAUCACUGAGGUCAGAGAGGCCAUAUACAAUAACCACAUCAUCUGGAAUUUCAAUACUGGUUAAGUUCCAUUUUAUUUAAGAUUUAAGAAUAUCAACCAUAAACUAGUCAAUAAACUCACAAUGUAGCAAGAACGAUCUAAAACCUAAAAUCCUUCAUACAAAUCUCUUUUCCCAAGUACUACUAAAUUUGAUUUUUACAACAAACAACUUUUCCAAUAUGGUGACGAUUCACAUACCAACCAUAAAAAGCUAGACAUGGAUCUCCUACUCCAACAUAAACAUAGAUUUUCUAUGAUGAAAACAACUUCAGAAAGAAAUAACAGAAAAUAAAGAAUAAAAAAACCAAGCCAACAAAAAUAAGGAAGCCCAUCUAAAAACAUAGAUUUUCUAUGAUGAAAACAACUUCAGAAAGAAAUGACAGAAAAUAAAGCAUAAAAAAACCAAGCCAACAAAAAUAAGGAAGCCCAUCUAAAUGAAGGGACUCCAACUAUACAAUACAGUGCCCAUAGAACAAUUACAAUCCUACAUAAACACACAGGACAAUCCAUCUGAAGUCUUAUUGGUUAUAGCUUAUAUAACGAUUUGUACUGGGUUGUAGCAAUCAUGCAUCCAUGUAAAUGGAAACUCAUUCUCAUCAAAUUAAAUUAUAGCAGCUCAAUUAGAAAGAAAUAAUGGAUUGGUCUCUAGUCAAAACCCCACAAGAAGAAUCAUGACAAGUAAAUUUUGUAUCUUACGUUUUCGCAGCUUGCCUACCCUUCCCAAUUGCAGCACCAUAGUAUCUCUAGAAAAAUACCAAAAAGGAAAACAGGUCAGUUCAUAGAGCAGCAAUUGAUGAUGUACAUAAGUAGUUUUCAAGUGUAGCGAACAAAAUGACAUUCAUGUUAAAACUUUCAAGUUUGCAACAUGUCAAUAUGUAUACUCACGUACGAAACACCAGAUGGUUCAACCAUGUACAAUUGUGGUCCAUCUCUGUCAUAACCUCCAAGAAUUACACCACAUCCAAAAGGUCUGCAAUGUUAAUUUUAAUUAUAUUUAAGGAGAAAGCAGCAAUUUCAAAUAUAUAGUAUAGGUUUUACUGAAAUCACAACAAACCUGAGCCACCAGUAAAGUGUGCAGAGAUGCACAUAACUAGCAACACGGUCAGCUAGUUCCUUAACAGGGAUUGGUUCACCAUAUACACUGCAUAAAGAGUCCGUAAAAAAACAAGAUAAGCAUUCAAUAGGAUAAUGCAAAACCAACAAUACAGCUUAAAUAACCUCAGAUAAGGGCAUUAAAAGAACUGAUAACUUCUUUCUCAUGCUCAGCAAUGCUAUCAUCAUCUCAUAGUUUUCGAAUGGUUUACUAUUAUAAUCAUACUGGUGUCUAGAGCAUCAUAAAUACUAACACUGCUGAUCCCUCAUAACUCCAAGCAUAUAUUUCACUACAUUUAUCAAGUCAAACUCAGGAAUCAGAAAUCAACAUAAGAGCAAAUUCAAUUCAUCCAAGUAUGAUCACCAAACGUUCAUCUUCAAUAUGUACUCUUACAGAGUAACAAAUAUCAUCACUAACAAAGAGAGAGAUGUGCUUAAGACUAGGUC
Molecule: long non-coding RNA, 43135 nt
Filed under: Cucumis sativus (cucumber)
Lineage: Eukaryota; Viridiplantae; Streptophyta; Magnoliopsida; Cucurbitales; Cucurbitaceae
Description: long non-coding RNA (CSAT_LNC001684)
Source: RNAcentral